RNAcentral lists this ribosomal RNA (493 nucleotides) under Colletotrichum theobromicola. Its description in RNAcentral is "eukaryotic LSU rRNA". The stretch from base 146 to 299 matches the Rfam family "5.8S ribosomal RNA". Lineage: Eukaryota; Fungi; Ascomycota; Sordariomycetes; Glomerellales; Glomerellaceae. The record is from RNAcentral.
ACAUACCUACAACUGUUGCUUCGGCGGGUAGGGUCCCCGUGACCCUCCCGGCCUCCCGCCCCCCCGGGCGGGUCGGCGCCCGCCGGAGGAUAACCAAACUCUGAUUUAACGACGUUUCUUCUGAGUGGUACAAGCAAAUAAUCAAAACUUUUAACAACGGAUCUCUUGGUUCUGGCAUCGAUGAAGAACGCAGCGAAAUGCGAUAAGUAAUGUGAAUUGCAGAAUUCAGUGAAUCAUCGAAUCUUUGAACGCACAUUGCGCCCGCCAGCAUUCUGGCGGGCAUGCCUGUUCGAGCGUCAUUUCAACCCUCAAGCUCUGCUUGGUGUUGGGGCCCUACAGCUGAUGUAGGCCCUCAAAGGUAGUGGCGGACCCUCCCGGAGCCUCCUUUGCGUAGUAACUUUACGUCUCGCACUGGGAUCCGGAGGGACUCUUGCCGUAAAACCCCCCAAUUUUCCAAAGGUUGACCUCGGAUCAGGUAGGAAUACCCGCUGAA